This 253-nucleotide ribosomal RNA is filed under the name uncultured bacterium. Its description in RNAcentral is "partial 16S ribosomal RNA". It matches the Rfam family "Bacterial small subunit ribosomal RNA", at positions 524 to 776 of the family's 1533-position model. The record is from RNAcentral.
UACGGAGGGUGCAAGCGUUAAUCGGAAUUACUGGGCGUAAAGCGCACGCAGGCGGUCUGUUAAGUCAGAUGUGAAAUCCCCGGGCUUAACCUGGGAACUGCAUUUGAAACUGGCAGGCUUGAGUCUUGUAGAGGGGGGUAGAAUUCCAGGUGUAGCGGUGAAAUGCGUAGAGAUCUGGAGGAAUACCGGCGGCGAAGGCGGCCCCCUGGACAAAGACUGACGCUCAGGUGCGAAAGCGUGGGGAGCAAACAGG